Molecule: ribosomal RNA, 245 nt
Filed under: uncultured Eubacteriales bacterium
Lineage: Bacteria; Bacillati; Bacillota; Clostridia; Eubacteriales
Description: uncultured Clostridiales bacterium partial 16S ribosomal RNA
Rfam family: Bacterial small subunit ribosomal RNA
Source: RNAcentral
UACGUAGGUGGCGAGCGUUGUCCGGAUUUACUGGGUGUAAAGGGCGCGUAGGCGGGGCAGCAAGUCAGUCGUGAAAUACCGAGGCUUAACUUCGGAGCUGCGAUUGAAACUGUUGUUCUUGAGUGUCGGAGAGGAAAGCGGAAUUCCUAGUGUAGCGGUGAAAUGCGUAGAUAUUAGGAGGAACACCGGUGGCGAAGGCGGCUUUCUGGACGAUAACUGACGCUGAGGCGCGAAAGUGUGGGGAG